This 521-nucleotide ribosomal RNA is filed under the name uncultured bacterium. Its description in RNAcentral is "bacterial SSU rRNA". It matches the Rfam family "Bacterial small subunit ribosomal RNA", at positions 356 to 896 of the family's 1533-position model. The record is from RNAcentral.
GGGGAAUAUUGCACAAUGGGGGGAACCCUGAUGCAGCAACGCCGCGUGAGUGAAGAAGGCAUUCGUGUCGUAAAACUCUGUAGUAGGGGAAGAAAGAAAUGACAGUACCCUAAAAGAAAGCCCCGGCUAACUACGUGCCAGCAGCCGCGGUAAUACGUAGGGGGCAAGCGUUAUCCGGAAUAACUGGGCGUAAAGGGUGCGCAGGUGGUUUAACAAGUUAGUGGUGAAAGGCAUAGGCUCAACCAAUGUAAGCCAUUAAAACUGUUUAACUUGAGUGCAGGAGAGGAAAGUGGAAUUCCUAGUGUAGCGGUGAAAUGCGUAGAUAUUAGGAGGAAUACCAGUGGCGAAGGCGACUUUCUGGACUGCAACUGACACUGAGGCACGAAAGCGUGGGGAGCAAACAGGAUUAGAUACCCUGGUAGUCCACGCCGUAAACGAUGAGUACUAGGUGUCGGGUGAAGAACUCGGUGCCGAAGUUAACACAUUAAGUACUCCGCCUGGGGAGUACGCUCGCAAGAGUA